GACGAACGCUGGCGGCGUGCUUAACACAUGCAAGUCGAACGGAAAGGCCCUGCUUUUGUGGGGUGCUCGAGUGGCGAACGGGUGAGUAACACGUGAGUAACCUGCCCUUGACUUUGGGAUAACUUCAGGAAACUGGGGCUAAUACCGGAUAGGAGCUCCUGCUGCAUGGUGGGGGUUGGAAAGUUUCGGCGGUUGGGGAUGGACUCGCGGCUUAUCAGCUUGUUGGUGGGGUAGUGGCUUACCAAGGCUUUGACGGGUAGCCGGCCUGAGAGGGUGACCGGCAACAUUGGGACUGAGGUACGGCCCAGACUCCUACGGGAGGCAGCAGUGGGGAAUAUUGCACAAUGGGCGGAAGCCUGAUGCAGAAACGCCGCGUGCGGGAUGACGGCCUUCGGGUUGUAAACCGCUUUCGCCUGUGACGAAGCGUGAGUGACGGUAAUGGGUAAAGAAGCACCGGCUAACUACGUG
Molecule: ribosomal RNA, 468 nt
Filed under: uncultured bacterium
Lineage: Bacteria
Description: partial 16S ribosomal RNA
Rfam family: Bacterial small subunit ribosomal RNA
Source: RNAcentral